This 1651-nucleotide long non-coding RNA is filed under the name Rattus norvegicus (Norway rat). RNAcentral's name for it is "long non-coding RNA NONRATT001938". The record is from RNAcentral. Lineage: Eukaryota; Metazoa; Chordata; Mammalia; Rodentia; Muridae.
UUGCCCGUGUCUCUUUCACCAAGAAUCCUUUUGUUUACAUUUGAUAACGUGCACUACCAGAUAGAAAAGUUUACAUCCAAGUUUACUUUAAAUAGCAUCAGGUAAGGACUAAAUAUAUGUGAUAAAGAGAACUGAUCAAGAUAAAAAUGUUUUUAAACUAUAAUCAUUUUUAAAAUUUCUGAAUCUAUAGAAAGUGAGAAAAAAAAUUCGUUUCAUGUCUGUUCUCUGAACAUUCAGCAAUUUACGAAUUGCUUAAUUUGCAUUAUAUAUCGUCCAUUAAACCCAUGUUCCAUGGUAACUCAUUGGAAGAAUUGGGUCUUUUUUUAAAGGUAUAGUUUUAUGAAUAUCGAUAGUUGAGAGUUUUAAAAAGUUGAAAAGUACUGAGUGACUGAGGCACUGCUCGACUCUGUGGAGCCUCAGCUGUUUGAUUCGUUGUAUUAUUUGUGUAUCAGAUUCCUUUCUACGGUCGUUUUAACUGCUGUAAAUAAGAUGAAUCAAAGUUGUAAUUAUUUACUAAUAGAGAAGUAGAUAAGUUUACCAGAGUUGGAUUUUAUAAGAACAUUUUAAUUCAUUAUUUUAAAUUAUCUGUUUUUAUUUUAAUUAAUCUACAUAUUGUACACAACAGUCUAAGAAACCAGGACUAGAAAGUGCAAAGUAUUUUUAAGUAGAGAGUAUGAGCUUCCCAGAGCUGCGCCUGAUCGUGUAAAUAAGAAAGUUCCAAGUGAUAACAGGGGACGGACUGUAGUCUGAAAUGGUCCGCCUCCUCCCACCCCACUCCUCUCUUUUUGAUGCAAAAAGCAGUAGCCACCAGCAAGCCAAAGUUUCAGGAACUUUAUCAAAAACAAAACAAACAAACAAAAAAAAGUCAAAAUAAAAAAUAUCAAAAAAUGAAAGUGUGUGUGUGUGUGUGUGUGUGUGUGUGUGUGUGUGUGUGUGUUCUCUGCCCUCAUUUGUCUUUGAUUCUAAAAUUUAAGUAUUCUUCAAUUAAUUUUAUUAUGGGAAGAGAUUUCUCUGUAUGUACCACAUAACAAAUUCAUUUCCUUUUGUAAACUAAAAAUCAGUCCCUGUUUGCCUAGAAUGUUGUUAUUUGAAGUAUCUCAUCUUGUCAAAAUCUUUAUGUGUUUGAUUAUGACAACACCCGCUCACAUUUCGGCCGUACCACUUCUAAAAGUCGGUUACAGAUUUUACAUAACCCGUUCCUGAUUCGAGGUCUUCAUAGGAAAACACUGCUACGUGUACACCUGCAUAUCGUUGGAAGUACGCUGCAGUUCCACCCAGAACGGUUCCUGAAGUGGUCACUUAGAACUUCUGGUGGGUUCUUCUGACUUCUGAUGUUAGUUCAGGCAGACACUUGUGGCUGUGAGACAGGUCUGAAAGAGGGCUUGUGUUUAGAACGUGGGUGGUGCUGGGAGAUAGGUGAGGGACAGAGGGGUUUGCUCCAGGUUUUACCCUAAGUCCUGUAUUUGAAUCGUGUGCUUUUGCUCAAGGCAUUUCGCAUGUGACAUUAGUAAAGCUAUCUCCAAAGGUUUUUUUUGUUUGUUUGUUUUUGUAUCUGUUUUUCUUUUUUGUGGCAAGGAUUUAUCUUAACUUGGGAGAUUUUGUUCGUUUAUAUGUUUCUGCGAAAUAAAGAGCUCUGAACUUUAAACCUGAA